Molecule: non-coding RNA, 209 nt
Organism: Pelobates cultripes (western spadefoot toad)
Lineage: Eukaryota; Metazoa; Chordata; Amphibia; Anura; Pelobatidae
Source: the annotation of a GenBank genome assembly
AAAUCAUGUUUCCUUUGAUCAAGUUAAUGGAUGAACACUAUUGGGUUAAAGGGACACUAUAGACACCAAAACAACUUUAGCUUAAUAAAGCAGUUUUGGUGUAUAGAUCAUUCCUGAUGUCUUACUUUUUAAGCCCUUAAGGACCAAACUUCUGGAAUAAAAGGGAAUCAUGACAUGUCACACAUGUCAUGUAUCCUUAAGGGGUUAAG